Lolium perenne is the source of this 263-nucleotide non-coding RNA. NCBI's taxonomy places the organism in Eukaryota, Viridiplantae, Streptophyta, Magnoliopsida, Poales, Poaceae. The record is from RefSeq and is a predicted model, not a curated record.
CUCCUCCUCGUCCCCGCAGCAGCUCCUGAAGUCGUCCUCUCCUCUCGGAUUGUCGGCGAACCCGUCACUGGCAGACUGCCUCUCCUCCAUCUUGGAAUCCAAUCCAGUCGAAAUGCCCCUCACUCAAAAAUCAGUUAGAAGGUCAUUUCUUCCCCAAUUUUGGCAAUCCUCAUCUUAUCGACCCCACGGAUUGGGGAAUCAGAAACUGGGGGCAAAAACGGCCAGGAGGCACCAGGCGGAGCUCCACACCGCGAAUUCCACUG